CCUACGGGAGGCAGCAGUGAGGAAUAUUGGUCAAUGGGCGCGAGCCUGAACCAGCCAAGUCGCGUGAGGGAAGACGGUCCUAUGGAUUGUAAACCUCUUUUGUCGGGGAGCAAAAGACGCCACGCGUGGCGUUUCGAGAGUACCCGAAGAAAAAGCAUCGGCUAAUUCCGUGCCAGCAGCCGCGGUAAUACGGAGGAUGCGGGCGUUAUCCGGAUUUAUUGGGUUUAAAGGGUGCUCAGGCGGAAGAUCAAGUCAGCGGUAAAAUUGAGAGGCUCAACCUCUUCGAGCCGUUGAAACUGGUUUUCUUGAGUGAGUGAGAAGUAUGCGGAAUGCGUGGUGUAGCGGUGAAAUGCAUAGAUAUCACGCAGAACUCCGAUUGCGAAGGCAGCAUACCGGCGCUCAACUGACGCUCAUGCACGAAAGUGUGGGUAUCGAACAGGAUUAGAUACCCUUGUAGUC
This 459-nucleotide ribosomal RNA is filed under the name uncultured bacterium. RNAcentral describes it as "partial 16S ribosomal RNA". It matches the Rfam family "Bacterial small subunit ribosomal RNA", at positions 338 to 795 of the family's 1533-position model. The record is from RNAcentral.